Jatropha curcas is the source of this 439-nucleotide long non-coding RNA. RefSeq lists it as uncharacterized. The record is from RefSeq and is a predicted model, not a curated record. NCBI's taxonomy places the organism in Eukaryota, Viridiplantae, Streptophyta, Magnoliopsida, Malpighiales, Euphorbiaceae.
UUUUCUUUCUUCUUCUUCUUCUUCUUUCUUUUCUUUCUUCUUUUCUUUUCUUUCUUUUCUUUCUUUCUUUCCUUUUUCCCUUCACUGCGCCUGCGUCUUCAUUUCUGGCGAGACAGCAGGUGAUCGCGCCACCCAGCCACCGUGCGCCACCGCCGCACCUUGCUGUCGCAGUCGAUCCGCCAUCGCCACCCUCCUCUCCGGCCACCAACCUCCAUUUCCGGUUAACCAAAAAGUCCGGCAACAAUAUAUUGGAUCGCCCGGGUCCAUUCUUAGUGCUCCUCCAGGACAGAAUCAAAGCUAGAACUUCGCUCUCCAUCACAGUACUAGGAAGCAGCUGAUUCGGCUGAAGCUCUGCAAUCUUCUCUGCAGAGUUACAAAUGUAAACUUUAUAUUCAUGUUAUUUAAUUUUGGAUGUAUAAAUUAUUCUGUUAUCAGAUUA